GGGCGUAUAGCUCAGCUGGGAGAGCACCUGCCUUACAAGCAGGGGGUCACAGGUUCGAGCCCUGUUACGCCCACCA
RNAcentral lists this transfer RNA (76 nucleotides) under Bacillota bacterium. RNAcentral's name for it is "tRNA-Val". It matches the Rfam family "tRNA". From Rfam's summary of the family: Transfer RNA (tRNA) molecules are approximately 80 nucleotides in length. Their secondary structure includes four short double-helical elements and three loops (D, anti-codon, and T loops). RNAcentral also lists the same sequence under 2 other names. Lineage: Bacteria; Bacillati; Bacillota. The record is from RNAcentral.